RNAcentral lists this non-coding RNA (24 nucleotides) under Arabidopsis thaliana (thale cress). Lineage: Eukaryota; Viridiplantae; Streptophyta; Magnoliopsida; Brassicales; Brassicaceae. The record is from RNAcentral.
AAGGUGAGUACAAUUGCAUUAACC